GAAUUCAAGCGCCAAGUUGCGACGUGCGAAGGCGAAAUAGGUUCCUGCGCCUUUAAUUAGUUGUGGCGAAAAGGAAACUUCUUCGGCAAAAAGUCUGCGCGUCUGUUAAAGGUUCAGGAGCCUUUUUUCGUCUUUUGCUUCGGGGCCACCCUAGCCCUGAGGCGGCAAUCGUGUGCACGUUUAUGGAGGAGCAACUAGCAGCGCAAUUCUAUCGGGAUCUGCUCUGAAGUAAGACCCUUUGAGGCCAACAGGACUUGCAAAAUAAACUCUGUGGGACUUGCUGCUUCUGAGUCACCGUCCACAUAUCUGGACGGGAGCUGAAGCGCGCUGCGGGCAAAGGCAACCCGAGAGCGAUGGCUCUGGCUCUGGCUCGCGUCCAGAGAAAGGCUUCCUAUUGCCGCAGGAAGCUGGUUUGACCGCAUCCUUCCGCACAUGCUGUGUUAGCGUCGUAAUAAACGUUAUCAUGAUUUAGCUGAAACCCAUCCAAAACUCCUUGAGGAAACAUUAGGCAAGAGUAACUUGCCGUUAUUGGGCCCGAUCCAGGCAAAGCGGAACGUUUUUAAACGCCCGUUGAUUUCACCUGGAGAGAUUUAAAUAUGCACAUAGCUCUUCUGUUGACAUCAGUUGGAUUUACACGACCUUCACUUUGGGUGGGUGUGAGAUUGAAUUCCUUGCUAUUAUGUGUUCAGGGGUUGGUGGAGCAGGAGGGGGCGGUGUGAUCUGGGUCAGCAAGUUCCAUUCAUUUAUAAAACAAGAACUCUGUAUAGUGUAGAUUCUAUAUUAUAUCAUAGAACUAACAGUACACAGAAAAUAUCGUCACGCACCACCCCAGUCUCCGAGCCUGGGAGGCACCAGGGGUUCCAGUGUUUACUUGUGGUGUGGAUUCUUUGACUGUUUUGAUUUUAGGAUACAUGGUUUUAUUCACACAUAUAAGAAACUUGUGUAUAGGAUGGAGGGGCUCACAGCAUUAACAUCCCCACAGAUCUUGGUUCUGCUUUAGGUUUCCGGGGAGCCCUGAAGUCUAACAAGUGAAGAGCAAGACAUCUUUCUCUGUCUGCAGCUUUUAGCCUGCUUCCAGCCUACACACAACUAUGGCUAGUGUUCUGUCAAGUAGCAAGCUAGAUGAGCUGCUUGGGGAAAGGCCCACUCAUUAGUUGUAUGACAGAUAAUAGUUUUAUUGACUAUGAACCCCAAAAUUUGAUAUCUCCUCCAAACCGGUGCCAAAGUUUUGCAGUCGUUUUGCAGCAUUUUGCACUGGUUUGCAGGGGACCCCAAAUUUCUGUGUUCAUAAUUAGUGAAGCUGAACAGAAUUACUUACUUGGUUAUGCUAAAACCAACCAACCAGCCAAAGCCAUUACCUUGAUAAAGGAACUGGUUUGACAAGCUUCCUUUGCAUUCUACUGUCCUGGAUGCAGGAUCACAGGUUCUGGAAGGGAACCCAGGGUUCAUCCACACUGCCCACCCCCAGCUCAUAACAAUAGAAUAUAUUAUAUUAGAGGUCCUCCUCAAGGACAGUGAGCUUGGGGCUGAGGAAAUUCAAUAGUACCACCCCAUGCCACACUGCAAGCUCCUUUUGCAACUGAGGUGACUUUCCAAAGGAAUUUCUGGUGUGGAACGAAAUAUGUAGUGCUGUGUUUCACUUUUCAAAUUAAAACCAUUCUAGGCAUACUCAAGCCCUCCAGCAUUCCUAAAGUAGCUCAUUGGAUCACAGCCAGUGUAAACUCUAUUGGAUGCAGUCCCCAUAACAUUCAGUGAAAAUAAAGUUGGUUCUUUUUCUUCUUCUUUUUAAAGUGUUACUUGACUUAAGAGAGUUUUCUAUGAGGCUGGUUCUGGCCAGGACUUAAUGCGUGCCUAGAAUAUAGUUCCACAACCUGUUCUGCAUGUGGGACUUGUAAAUAUACAGAGUUCGUGCCCUUCACUACUGAGUAAUGGCCAGGCCUCAUGCACUUGAAAUUAGAGGACAGAACCAACCAUCCGCAGCAUUUGACUCCAGGGAGACUGAGCCCCACCAUCUCCUAUUUAAAAAUCAUGCACUACCUGCAGUUCCACUGCAGGCAGUGUUGUUUUUUUGCUUAGAGCUGGUGAGAGUAGUGGGAGCAUUUACUUUAUUUCUACUUUGGAUGGAUUGCACCCCACUGAGCCUGGCAGAGCCGAAAAGGUUUGUGAGUUGCUGACUAAGCACCUUUGGGGAAGUGAGCCUAUGAAGCCUAAAUGGGUAAUGGAUGUCAGCCUGUGUCUGGGUUGGUAAUUAAGCGUUAAGGCAUGCGCUUCCUUUAGUAAGAUGAAUGUGGUUUUUAAAAGUGUCUUGCUGAGGCAGAAAAUUUAUCGUCCAGUACACAUUUGCCCCAAUAUAAUUUAUCACUGUGCUCAUCACCAUAAUGCUACAGCAUUCCAUAGAUACUUUAGAUAGGCCAAAUAUUAUUCUGAGCUUUCACUGCUAGGCCGUAUUGCUGCGAUAAAAAUGAAUGUAUUGCCUAGAAUGUUGUUUCUGUUUCAAACAUUGCAAAUUUUGGACAAAAUGGAUUGCUUCAAGAAGUGGCAGAGAGAUAUCUCUAGAUUUGUCUGGCAGGGCAAGAAGCCUAGAAUAAAAUUUAAAAUACUAACGGAUGUAAAGGAAAGAGGUGGAUUUGCCCUGCCAGACCUUAAACUUUAUUACGAAUCAGCAGCUUUUUGCUGGCUGAAAGAAUGGCUGCUUCUUGAAAACACAGACAUUUUGGAUUUAGAAGGUUUUAAUAAUGUAUUUGGAUGGCAUGCAUAUUUGUGGUAUGAUAAGGUCAAAGCACAUAAAGCAUUUAAAAAUCAUAUUGUCAGGAAAGCAUUGUUUAAUGUCUGGAUAAGAUAUAAGGACCUAUUGGAAAACAAAACCCCAAGGUGGCUGUCACCGAUGGAAGCGAAAGCUCAGAAAAAGCUCAAUAUGGAGGCCAAAUGGCCGAAAUAUUGGGAAAUUCUGGAACAAGAGGGAGAUAGAUUGAAACUGCAGAGUUUUGAGAAACUAAAAAAAAGUGCGAGAUUGACUUCAUUAUUAUCAGAUAAUGGAGGCAUACAAUUUGGACAAGAAAAUUGGCUUCCAGGUGGAAAAAUCAAAAUUAGAAACAGAACUGUUAGAACCCAAAACUAAGAUUUUGUCAAAGAUGUAUAACUUGCUGUUGAAAUGGAAUACUCAGGAUGAAACGGUGAAAUCUGCUAUGAUUAAAUGGGCACAAGAUGUUGGACAUAACAUAAUGAUGGCUGACUGGGAACAGUUAUGGACCACAGGUAUGAAGUUUACGGCAUGUAAUGCCUUAAGAGAGAAUAUUAUGAAAAUGAUAUACAGGUGGUACAUGACACCAGUCAAGCUCGCAAAAAUCUAUCAUUUGCCCGAUAAUAAAUGUUGGAAAUGUAAAGAAACUGAAGGUACAUUCUUUCACCUUUGGUGGACAUGCCCAAGGAUUAAGGCUUUCUGGGAGAUGAUCUAUAAUGAAAUGAAAAAGGUAUAUAAAUAUACCUUCCUGAAGAAACCAGAGGCCUUUCUCCUGGGCAUGGUCGGCCAAUUGGUGGCAAAGAAGGACAGAACUUUCUUUAUGUAUGCUACAACAGCAGCAAGAAUACUUAUUGCAAAGUAUUGGAAGACACAAGAUUUACCCACUCUGGAAGAAUGGCAGAUGAAGGUGAUGGACUAUAUGGAACUGGCGGAAAUGACUGGCAGAAUCCGAGACCAGGGAGAAGAGUCGGUGGAAGAAGAUUGGAAGAAAUUUAAAGACUAUUUACAGAAAUACUGCAAAAUUAAUGAAUGUUAGAAUGAUGUCAGAAUGAAGUUAAGUGGCUUUAGCAGUAAUGUUAUAAAGGUGUAUGUAAAAAUGGAUUGUUAACAGGUGAAAAUCCAAAGUUAUAAUAUAUUAAGUUAAAGGAUUAAGACAAAAACAAAGAGGGAAAGGAAUUGCUGAAUUAACUAACAGAACUGGAAUACAAAAAAGGGAGGUGUGAGGAGGUCAGGGAAGUAAGGAAAUGAAAUGUAAGGCAUGGAAAGACUGAUGUGUUUUUUAAGUGUUUUUUAUCUUUUUUGUAUUUUGUAUUUUUUUUCCCUUUUUGUGUCGUUUUCUUUUUUUUCUCUUUUUAUUUAUGUAAUCCUUUCUUUGAAACUUUAAUAAAUAUCAUUU
Non-coding RNA from Podarcis lilfordi (Lilford's wall lizard), 4136 nucleotides. NCBI's taxonomy places the organism in Eukaryota, Metazoa, Chordata, Lepidosauria, Squamata, Lacertidae. The record is from the annotation of a GenBank genome assembly.